RNAcentral lists this transfer RNA (50 nucleotides) under Illubaboria bicolor. RNAcentral describes it as "partial tRNA-Glu". Lineage: Eukaryota; Metazoa; Arthropoda; Insecta; Coleoptera; Elateridae. The record is from RNAcentral.
AACAAAAACAUUACAUUUUCAUUGUAAAAUUAAAACAAUUUUUAGAAAUA